GAAAAGUGUUUCAAGCAGGCCCUUCACCUUAAUUGUCUUCUCUUUGUUUUUCUGCUUCUGUUUCGAGUCUCCUUCUUCUCAAUUUCAACAUCGUCUUUGUCGACUUGGAAUUGCAGAAUCCAUCACCGAAAAUGACCUAUAACCAAAUCGUAUUGGCGCGUGAACCUUCGACGAAAUUAGGUCGACGCAGAAAUGAUGACGAAGGUGAUGUUGAAAGUAAUGCUUCUCAGCCGCAAUUAAGGAUGAAGAAUGCAGAAAUUCCGUUGAAGAUGGAGAUUGGACUGGAGCAGAUUUGAGGGAGAAUGGUGGUGAAGAUUGAAUGAGAUGAAGAAGAAGGUUGGAGCUUGGGAGAGUGAAGGGGAAGCUUGGAAUAUGAAGAAUCUAACCCUCCCCUGGUGGUUGUGAGGAGUGUUUAUAUAGUUUAGAAGUUGUAACCAAAUCAGGCAACGAAAGGCGGGCAGGUCAGUUAGCUUCGGGCAGAAUUACAGUGAACCGGACCAUUCUACAGCUGGUUCUUGCAUUAAGUUUGGCUGGAAACCCAAAGCGAGUUAUUGACCUAUUGGUUACGGGUUAGCUUAAUGGCUGCUGCGGAAUUCUAGUUGGAUACGACGAGGUUAUGUUUGGAAUUUCAAAUGCAUGAUUAUUGCCAUGGAUGUUCAAAUAAUGGAUGGUUGUUAAUGCGAGCCAAAUUCUACUAUGCUAAUCUGAUGCAGGGGCUGUUAUCGGAUUAGAUGUAUGGUGCUUUGGUGAUUUAUGGAACCUAAAGCAGGAUACAAUUCAGAAAAUCCAGUAGGGCGGGUGAAAUCAUGAUGCAAAGUGGAAUUUGGCACGUACUGAAAUUUGCUAGCAUUUGGAAUGGACUUGAAGAAACUUGGAAUGCUAUGAUCAUCAUGCUUGGAAUAGAUUUAGUUGGAGUUUAGUUUUUUUUUGUAUAAAUUAGUGGUUCUUGUGAGUUGUUGAUAAAUUUUAUUGUGAAUAUGAAUGUGUGUUUCUAAUUGAAGCAUAAAGGGACUUUGAAUAGAAAUUGUGGAUGAAAAUAUGAAAUCUUUUGUAAUCUUGGAAUUGAAAUCUGGUUUGUGGUUUGUAAUGGGAUGUUGAUUAAUGGGAAAUUAGUUGUAAUCUUCUUGAAAUGCACUAUUAUGAGCCGUGUUUGGUUCUGAUU
Long non-coding RNA from Lathyrus oleraceus (garden pea), 1162 nucleotides. RefSeq lists it as uncharacterized. NCBI's taxonomy places the organism in Eukaryota, Viridiplantae, Streptophyta, Magnoliopsida, Fabales, Fabaceae. The transcript is spliced from 6 exons. The record is from RefSeq and is a predicted model, not a curated record.